ACCCUCCGGCAGAACCAACGCACCUGGCGAAGAGGGCGCACUAAGAUCUGCUCCUGACACUGAGAACAAACGCAAGAAGAGAAACGUCUAACGGGAAAGCGACGCCCUGAGCGCACGGAACCCGGCUCGGGCUCAGCCGCCCCGCCGCGUCUACGCGAGCCCCCAGUCUCCCCACGGAGUCCCCGCCCACGGCGCGCUGCGGGUCCCCGAGGCGAGGCAGACCCCGGCCUGGCGUCCUCGGCCCGCGGCGCCGCCUGCCGGCGGAGCGGGCGGAAAUGGUGGGAACCGGCGUCCAGCGAUCCCUCCUUCUCCAGCGGCGCCGCCCCACGCCCCGCCCCGCCGGGCCGCCGCCCAACCCCGCGAACGCCGUCCCCGCAUACGCGCCGCGGACGGGGAAGCUACCCGGAGCCUCGCUCCCGCUGGCUGCCCAGACCGCGUGGGCGGAGCCCCGACCCCGGGCUCUGCGCGUUCCGAGGUGUUCCCAGGAACGAAGGCAGCGCUGCAGGCCUGCGCCCCGCGCCCGCGUCCCCGAGCGCCAGCCCCCGCGGCCACCGUCACGCUCAGUGGGGGACACGCCCGCACACGGAGGCCCUCGGCGUGAGAAACGUCUGUGCCCCCGCCCCCCGGACACAGCUCGGGCCCGGGACUCGAACGUGCCCACGUGGCCUGUACUCUGCCCGGAAAGCCCGCGAAUGGAAGCACCGGGUGCGGGGAGGAGAGAACCGGGCUCAGCGAGCGCGGCCUGCGCGGGGGGGCGCCUCCGGCCGCUGGGUAGUUGGGAGGGUCGCGUAGCCACGGAGCAAACAUGGGGGAAAACCAGAGUCUAGAAGCGGCGGUUCUGCAACGAGAGGAGACAGCCGGUGGGACUCCGCAAAUGUUCUUUUUCCACGCUGUUGCGAUGAAAAAUGUGUGAUCAACAACAACUGGGACAGAAGGGAAUUUCCUCCGUUUUCUGGGCACUUAAGCUCGAUGGGAGCCUUUUUGUCACUCUGCAGACUCAGUCUCACACCCACUCCCGCGGGCACCCACCUGGCCUCUGACCCUGGAGCAGAAAGAACAGAGGUCGUGCCAAUGAGGUCCAAACUCCUGCGCUAGUCUGAUGAGCUGGGACAAUGCCCACCUGCAGCAUUGGGUGUCUGAGAUCUCCCAGGCCAACAGCCCAGAAAACAGCAGCAUCCCUCGGAAACUGAAUCAACCUUCCUGGGCACACAUGACUGCAAAUAAACUAUUAUUGUAUAUUAAAUAAAUAUUAAGUAGGAACCACUUACCAAAUAUGGACGUCUUGAAUACAUAGUGAACAAAUCGUUUGAACAGGUGUGUGCCAGGCCCUCACAUAAGGAUAUUAUCAUUUGCCCCCUGGGAGAUGGGCAUCAUUAAUUCUAUUCACAGGUGAAGAAACUGUGAAGUGUGUAAAUGCCUCUGGAAGAGCAGUUUUGGGGAGAGAGCAUGGCACCUCCUGGCACGGUGGCUCAGGC
RNAcentral lists this long non-coding RNA (1475 nucleotides) under Equus asinus (donkey). Its description in RNAcentral is "lncRNA (ENSEASG00005032388.1)". The record is from RNAcentral. Lineage: Eukaryota; Metazoa; Chordata; Mammalia; Perissodactyla; Equidae.